This 301-nucleotide ribosomal RNA is filed under the name uncultured bacterium. Its description in RNAcentral is "partial 16S ribosomal RNA". It matches the Rfam family "Bacterial small subunit ribosomal RNA", at positions 509 to 809 of the family's 1533-position model. The record is from RNAcentral.
CAGUAGCCACGGGAAUACAGAGGGUGCGAGCGUUAAUCGGAUUUACUGGGCGUAAAGCGUGCGUAGGCGGCUUCUUAAGUCGGAUGUGAAAUCCCUGAGCUUAACUUAGGAAUUGCAUUCGAUACUGGGAAGCUAGAGUAUGGGAGAGGAUGGUAGAAUUCCAGGUGUAGCGGUGAAAUGCGUAGAGAUCUGGAGGAAUACCGAUGGCGAAGGCAGCCAUCUGGCCUAAUACUGACGCUGAGGUACGAAAGCAUGGGAAGCAAACAGGAUUAGAUACCCCCGUAGUCCCUGUCUCUUAUAA